RNAcentral lists this ribosomal RNA (498 nucleotides) under uncultured microorganism. RNAcentral's name for it is "bacterial SSU rRNA". It matches the Rfam family "Bacterial small subunit ribosomal RNA", at positions 9 to 490 of the family's 1533-position model. The record is from RNAcentral.
GAGUUUGAUCAUGGCUCAGGAUGAACGCUGGCGGCGUGCCUAAUACAUGCAAGUCGAGCGAACGGACGAGAAGCUUGCUUCUCUGAUGUUAGCGGCGGACGGGUGAGUAACACGUGGAUAACCUACCUAUAAGACCUGGGAUAACUUCGGGAAACCGGAGCUAAUACCGGAUAAUAUUUUGAACCGCAUGGUUCAAAAGUGAAAGACGGUCUUGCUGUCACUUAUAGAUGGAUCCGCGCUGCAUUAGCUAGUUGGUAAGGUAACGGCUUACCAAGGCAACGAUGCAUAGCCGACCUGAGAGGGUGAUCGGCCACACUGGAACUGAGACACGGUCCAGACUCCUACGGGAGGCAGCAGUAGGGAAUCUUCCGCAAUGGGCGAAAGCCUGACGGAGCAACGCCGCGUGAGUGAUGAAGGUCUUCGGAUCGUAAACUCUGUUAUUAGGGAGAACAUAUGUGUAAGUAACUGUGCACAUCUUGACGGUACCUAAUCAGAAAG